UGGGUUAAGUCCCGCAACGAGCGCAACCCUUGUCUUUAGUUGCCAUCAUUAAGUUGGGCACUCUAGAGAGACUGCCAGGGAUAACCUGGAGGAAGGUGGGGAUGACGUCAAAUCAUCAUGCCCCUUAUGCUUAGGGCUACACACGGGCUACAAUGGGUAGUACAGAGGGUUGCCAAGCCGUAAGGUGGAGCUAAUCCCUUAAAGCUACUCUCAGUUCGGAUUGUAGGCUGAAACUCGCCUACAUGAAGCUGGAGUUACUAGUAAUCGCAGAUCAGAAUGCUGCGGUGAAUGCGUUCCCGGGUCUUGUACACACCGCCCGUCACACCACGGGAGUUGGAG
This 339-nucleotide ribosomal RNA is filed under the name Clostridioides difficile. Its description in RNAcentral is "bacterial SSU rRNA". It matches the Rfam family "Bacterial small subunit ribosomal RNA", at positions 1076 to 1416 of the family's 1533-position model. Lineage: Bacteria; Bacillati; Bacillota; Clostridia; Peptostreptococcales; Peptostreptococcaceae. The record is from RNAcentral.